RNAcentral lists this long non-coding RNA (858 nucleotides) under Olea europaea (common olive). Its description in RNAcentral is "long non-coding RNA (OEUR_LNC014430)". Lineage: Eukaryota; Viridiplantae; Streptophyta; Magnoliopsida; Lamiales; Oleaceae. The record is from RNAcentral.
UUUGGUGGCCCCGGGUGUCAACACACUAAGCACACUGUACGCAUUGCAGUCAGUAGUUUGGUGGCCCCGGGUGUCAACACACUAAGCACACUGUAUGCAUUGCAGUCAGGUAUUGUCUAUGGAUACUGGGAAGUGGGAUGAUGGGGUUUGUUUUCUUAAAUUCCCAGACAAUUCUACAGACUGCAGGCCGUGUGUUCCAGAUCAAGAAACUGGGCAGUUUCCUGAGGCAAAAACCGGUAAUGAAAAAACUGCCAUUUAUGGGGAUAGGGUGAGGGCUGUGGAUUCAAAUUCAUCCAAACUACACACUAUUCAUUUGUUUCACAACAUUUUUCUGCAUCCAUUUGACAGAGUUCAGAGUGACUAAAACAGAAAGGAAACGAAAAUCAGUUUUGUAUAGUGGGAGGCCAAGAAGAGAACACCCACUAAAGAAGAGAGAAAAGGAAAGCAAAAAAAAAAAACAGUCUAUUUGUUUUUUCUUAUUUUUUCAAAUUUUUAUUUCUUCAGGUACUUUUGAUUUAUGGGCCUUGUCUGCAUGUGAGGCAUUGAAUCUUUAUGAUGACAAAUAGUACGUUUAUGCUGAAAUAAUAGCAAGAAGGAAACGGACAAAAAGAGGGGAAAACCAAAAGAAAAAAAAUUUAUAAGCUCUUGUGUAUUCUUCCUUGUUUGUAUGUAUUAAUGUCUAUCAUUGAUUAUGACUAUUGAGUGGCUUGCUUGUCGGUUACGAGAUAAUAAGGAAUUCUCGCUCUAAAAAUUAGAGAAAAAUUGCGAGAAAAUCGGGGAAGAAAGUAAAAGCCUUUUUCCUUUCUGGGUUUCUUAUUUUCUCUGCAAUUAUAUGUUGUUUGUUUGAGUUCUUNNNNN